This 668-nucleotide ribosomal RNA is filed under the name uncultured bacterium. Its description in RNAcentral is "bacterial SSU rRNA". It matches the Rfam family "Bacterial small subunit ribosomal RNA", at positions 140 to 849 of the family's 1533-position model. The record is from RNAcentral.
GGGACAACAGUUGGAAACGACUGCUAAUACCGCAUAAUCCCUGAGGGGGAAAGAUUUAUCGCUUUAAGAUUGGCCCGCGGAAGAUUAGGUAGUUGGUGGGGUAAAGGCCUACCAAGCCGACGAUCUAUAGCUGGUCUGAGAGGACGAACAGCCACAUUGGAACUGAGACACGGUCCAGACUCCUACGGGAGGCAGCAGUGAGGAAUAUUGGGCAAUGGAGGAAACUCUGACCCAGCCAUGCCGCGUGAGUGAAGAAGGUUUUCGAAUUGUAAAGCUCUUUCGGAUGGGACGAUGAUGACGGUACCAUCUAAAGAAGCCCCGGCAAACUUCGUGCCAGCAGCCGCGGUAAUACGAAGGGGGCAAGCGUUGUUCGGAAUUACUGGGCGUAAAGGGUGUGUAGGCGGAUUUGUAAGAUAGUGGUGAAAUACCUGAGCUCAACUUAGGAAUUGCCAUUAUAACUAUAGAUCUGGAGUGACAGAGAGGAUAUUGGAAUACCCAGUGUAGAGGUGAAAUUCGUAGAUAUUGGGUAGAACACCAGUGGCGAAGGCGAGUAUCUGGCUGUCAACUGACGCUGAGGCACGAAAGCAUGGGGAUCAAACAGGAUUAGAUACCCUGGUAGUCCAUGCUGUAAACGAUGAAUGCUAGUUGUCGGCAAAAGCCGGUGACGC